This 1766-nucleotide long non-coding RNA is filed under the name Hordeum vulgare. RNAcentral describes it as "long non-coding RNA (HVUL_LNC007397)". The record is from RNAcentral. Lineage: Eukaryota; Viridiplantae; Streptophyta; Magnoliopsida; Poales; Poaceae.
UUGAUUUCCGCGCAACCCUAGCCGCCACCUCGCCCACCUCUCUCCUCCCCACCACAACAACCCAGAUCUGACCCGGCCCACACCGAAACGGGCCGCACCAGCCGCCGCCGGUACCUCGCCCACGAGCAAGUGCCCUAGAUCGAGGGGAGGAGCCCUCCAGCGCUUUCCCCUGCCCCUCGCUUCUUCAAGCCGGCCAGGUGUCGUCCCUCUGGCGAGGUGCCGUUGACGAUCUUCUCACCACGCAGCACCCCGUCGCGCCUCUCCUGUCCGUGUUCGAGUUCAGACGUCAUGUUUCCGAGCAGCAGCAAAUCCCGCAACCUAGCUAGCCGGCGGCCCCCGAUCCGCGCCGCCAUCCGCUGCCUGAAGGACUAGCUGGCCAGAUCCGACCAGAUCCGGUCCGGGAGAGCAAUCCCUGACCACCGCCGCCCGGGACUCCGCCGGUGUGCGCCCUGCCGCCAUGGGCGUUAGACGCCGCCGCCCCAAGCCCUCUGCUCGAGCAGAGGCACGAGGGAGAUGAGGCGCUCCCGCAGCCUCUCGCGUGGGCCAGACGCCCAGUGCCCACGUGGGCCAGGCCCGUCGCCCGCCAGCUUGUUGGCCUGUCUCCCGUGGCCCAACACACCAACCGGCCCAGCCAGCCUACAACCUGAGCCGGCCCAUGUGGCCCAAGGUGAGCCAGCACCCGAGCCCCUCUAUAUUGCGCCCGAGCGCUGUUUUGCUAUCCAGCGCCCACCAAAUUCGUUCCGUGUAGUUUUUUUAUCGUCGUCCGAUUUUUUCCAAUUAUGAGGAAUUUUAGAAAAAAGCAUGAUUUAAAAACGACCGUAACUUUUAAACCAUGCGUUGGAUCGAAAUAAGUUAGAUAUGUUAAACAUGUAGAAUUUCGCAUAAAUUGAUAUUUUCCAUCUCUCAUGCAUAUUUAGAACUGUUUAACGUGUUGUUUGCAUCGGUUUCCAUGACAACAUGUUAAAAACGGUUUAAUUCGUAGCUAGUUAACUGUAGCUAUGUUGGAAAUGAGCUAUAUAUAUACCGACUAGAAUGACGUGUAGUUUCACGUGAAACACUUUGUUUUCCCGUUUAACAAACAUAAAAUGUGAUUAGGUCAAAUCUGGACAGAUUACAUAGUUAAUGCGUGGGGUUGUUUCAGAAAUGCUAUAUGUCGUUUCCGGCUUAAUUUAAAAUGCCUAGAUAGGUAGUUUAUUUGUGAUUCACCCCUUGCCAUGUUUAACAACAUUUAACAUUGACGUGUAUCUAAACGGGAGUGAACUAAGUAAUUCAAAUGUGGAGUUUCGUCAAUAUGCAACUCGUUGCAUAUUGAUCUUCACUUAAUGUGUAAUGGUUGAUUGUUGUGAAUUGACAUGUCAUGCCUUGCAUAAUUGAACUGGACGUGCAUCAUAAUUGGUUAUGCAUGAUGUUGCGCAUGUGCCGUGGUGAAUAUUGUGUCUUGAUUGUUGUUUCGGUUUGCUUCGUCUGGAUAGAGUUCAGCAAGUGUGCUGGAAUGCGAGGAUCCGUUCGACUGUGUCGGUUCGUCUGCUUCACGUAGUCGUUCUUCUUCCAAGCGGGUUCAUAGGAAAGAUGAUCAUUUCCCUUGAUACCAUUACUAUCAUUGCCAUGCUAGUGGUGUCGUUUCUUUCGCUAUCUCUCACUGCCUACCACCUGUUAAAUAUCAGCCUCCCAACAUUGCCAUGAAAACCUCUCAUCUUUCCACUACCUAGCAAAUCUUGUUUGGCUAUGUUACCGCUUGCUCAGCCUUUUGAUAGCAUUGCUAGUUG